UACGGAGGGUGCAAGCGUUAUCCGGAUUCACUGGGUUUAAAGGGUGCGUAGGUGGGCAUGUAAGUCAGUGGUGAAAUCUCUGGGCUUAACCCAGAAACUGCCAUUGAUACUAUAUGUCUUGAAUACCAUGGAGGUGAGCGGAAUAUGUCAUGUAGCGGUGAAAUGCUUAGAUAUGACAUAGAACACCAAUUGCGAAGGCAGCUCACUACGCGGUCAUUGACACUGAGGCACGAAAGCGUGGGGAUCAAACAGG
Molecule: ribosomal RNA, 253 nt
Filed under: uncultured bacterium
Lineage: Bacteria
Description: partial 16S ribosomal RNA
Rfam family: Bacterial small subunit ribosomal RNA
Source: RNAcentral